UGGGGCGUCGCCAAGCGGUAAGGCAUCGGACUUUGACUCCGACACCCGCAGGUUCGAAUCCUGCCGCCCCAG
RNAcentral lists this transfer RNA (72 nucleotides) under Candidatus Wallbacteria bacterium HGW-Wallbacteria-1. RNAcentral describes it as "tRNA-Gln". It matches the Rfam family "tRNA". Rfam says of the family: Transfer RNA (tRNA) molecules are approximately 80 nucleotides in length. Their secondary structure includes four short double-helical elements and three loops (D, anti-codon, and T loops). Lineage: Bacteria; Candidatus Walliibacteriota. The record is from RNAcentral.